This 267-nucleotide unclassified non-coding RNA is filed under the name Hevea brasiliensis (rubber tree). Lineage: Eukaryota; Viridiplantae; Streptophyta; Magnoliopsida; Malpighiales; Euphorbiaceae. The record is from RNAcentral.
GAAGGAAGAGAAAGAAGAGAGUGAUGAUGAUAUGGGGUUCUCGCUCUUUGACUAGGUACCUGAUAAGUUUGUGGCAGUUUGACUUGUGGUCUAUUUUGGUGGUCCGGAUUUAUCCGGAUCUUGGUGGAUUUUCAGAUUCUUGCUUGGUUUUGUUUGUGAACUUCAGUUCUCUUUAGACUUCUAAACCUCUUAUAAUUUCAGUCUGUUGAGCUUAAUCUUAUUUCUUAAUUUUUGGUGUAAUGGUACUAUUUUCCAAUUGUAGAUCGG